AAAAAAAAAAAAAAAAAAUGAUAGUGGCAAUAAUAUUGGACAUUUUUAUCCAUCUAAGAUAAAAUGAUAAGGAUGUAAUGAAUUUUAAAAAAAAUAAUAAUUAUUGAGUGAUAAAUUAUGUAUUGGAUUAAACAUGUUAAUUUUGAAAUGGUUAAAGUUUCGUAUAUUCUACGGGAUUAAAUCUAUGGGACUUAAAAGAAGUAAAUCCAU
Molecule: unclassified non-coding RNA, 210 nt
Filed under: Hevea brasiliensis (rubber tree)
Lineage: Eukaryota; Viridiplantae; Streptophyta; Magnoliopsida; Malpighiales; Euphorbiaceae
Source: RNAcentral